RNAcentral lists this ribosomal RNA (999 nucleotides) under uncultured bacterium. RNAcentral describes it as "bacterial SSU rRNA". It matches the Rfam family "Bacterial small subunit ribosomal RNA", at positions 505 to 1503 of the family's 1533-position model. The record is from RNAcentral.
GUGCCAGCAGCCGCGGUAAUACGGAGGUGGCAAGCGUUGUUCGGAAUUACUGGGCGUAAAGGGCGCGUAGCGCUUUACAAGUCAGAUGUGAAAUCCCCGGGCUUAACUUGGGAAUUGCAUCUGAAACUGUUUUGCUUGAGUCCUGGAUGGGGUAGUGGAAUUCCCAGUGUAGCGGUGAAAUGCGUAGAUAUUGGGAGGAACACCGGUGGCGAAGGCGGCUACCUGGACAGUGACUGACGCUGAGGCGCGAAAGCUAGGGGAGCGAACGGGAUUAGAUACCCCGGUAGUCCUAGCCGUAAACGAUGGGCACUUGGUGUUGGGGGUAUUGAGUCCCCCGGUGCCGGAGUUAACACGUUAAGUGCCCCGCCUGGGGAGUACGGUCGCAAGACUGAAACUCAAAGGAAUUGACGGGGGCCCGCACAAGCGGUGGAGCAUGUGGUUCAAUUCGACGCAACGCGAAGAACCUUACCGGGGCUCGAACGGUGACUGCUACUCCUGGAAACAGGGGAUUCUCGUCAGAGACGGUUACCGAGGUGCUGCAUGGCUGUCGUCAGCUCGUGUCGUGAGAUGUUGGGUUAAGUCCCGCAACGAGCGCAACCCUUGCCCUUAGUUGCCAGCAGGUUAAGCUGGGCACCCUAAGGGUACUGUCGGCGAAAAGCCGGAGGAAGGUGGGGAUGACGUCAAGUCCUCAUGGCCCUUAAGUCCCGGGCUACACACGUGCUACAAUGGUCGGAACAAAGGGUUGCCAACCCGCGAGGGGGAGCUAAUCCCAAAAAGCCGAUCUCAGUUCGGAUUGCAGUCUGCAACUCGACUGCAUGAAGUUGGAAUCGCUAGUAAUCGUGGAUCAGCAUGCCACGGUGAAUACGUUCCCGGGUCUUGUACACACCGCCCGUCACACCAUGGGAGUGGGUUUCACCAGAAGUAGGUAGCCUAACCGCAAGGAGGGCGCUUACCACGGUGGGAUUCAUGACUGGGGUGAAGUCGUAACAAGGUAGCCGA